GAUGAUGUGGCUCAGUUGGUAGAGCAUGGCGCUUGCAACGCUAGGGUUGUGGCGUGGGUUCCAUUUCUACAUUG
Molecule: transfer RNA, 74 nt
Filed under: Salmo salar (Atlantic salmon)
Lineage: Eukaryota; Metazoa; Chordata; Actinopteri; Salmoniformes; Salmonidae
Also listed under: 1 other name
Rfam family: tRNA
About the family: Transfer RNA (tRNA) molecules are approximately 80 nucleotides in length.
Source: Rfam by way of RNAcentral